Molecule: unclassified non-coding RNA, 303 nt
Filed under: Hevea brasiliensis (rubber tree)
Lineage: Eukaryota; Viridiplantae; Streptophyta; Magnoliopsida; Malpighiales; Euphorbiaceae
Source: RNAcentral
GGACAAAACAAGAGAGACUAAAAGAAUUCAUGAUGAACUAUCAUGAGAGAGGCAAACAAUAUGAAUUGAUUCAGUGUUAAAACUAAAGAGUGAUCAAAUAUGGUCUCUCUUUCACAGAGUUCUUUUAAUUUUAUGUUUCUCAAAGCUCUAUGCUUAAUAAUUAUUAUCUCCUAUGCAUACUUUCAAGAUACAUAAUGUCUUUCCCAGGUAAAAGAUAAUAACAAAAUUGUACUCUUACAUGCCCACACAAGGAAUAGAGGACAAAAACAAAGCAAAAUUUUUUGUUAGAAAAACUAAUCUAUU